Long non-coding RNA from Saccostrea cuccullata (small rock oyster), 966 nucleotides. RefSeq lists it as uncharacterized. NCBI's taxonomy places the organism in Eukaryota, Metazoa, Mollusca, Bivalvia, Ostreida, Ostreidae. The transcript has 4 exons. The record is from RefSeq and is a predicted model, not a curated record.
AGACGAAAUUUUCGCUUCUUUAUAUACCUUUACUGUACCCACUGGUAACCUCAAUUAGCCAAUCGCUGACCCGGAAUGACCCUACGCCACUUCCGGUAUAAACAAAUCAGGGAAAGUGCACGCAGAGAAGUUUUCUAAUAGAAAAUCAUUACUAACCAUACAAAAUGGGAUUUUAUCUACCAAAAUACGAUAAGUACAAGUAGCUAUUACGUUAUUAAGUUGAUUUAAACAAUGACAAUACAAUGUUCACAGACGAAACGUGAUAAUUGAAUUCAAACAUGCUAUGGAGAUCGAGACCGGGUCGAAAUACAGUGAACCCGAUUCUAAAACAAUAUACGAUGGACAGCAUAUAACUUAUAUCUUUUACAACCUUUUACCGAUUAUUUAAUGACAAACAAUCAUGUACAUAUAAAUAUGCUGAUAACAACUGUAUACGCUGCGAGUGAUCAAUGAAAUAUACAAAAGUAACGAAAUGAAUUUCGUAACAUAGCCCCCUCCUGAAGAAAACAUUCGUCCCGAAUGCAACUGGACUUGGGUCUACUGAAAACAUCACUUGCAGUUAUAGAAGUUGUAACCUUCCCAAUACUAAAUCAGCUGGGAGAGAAACAUGCCUACCAAACAUCAUCUCACAUGGACUUACGCCAGUUGACUCGUGCUGGGCUGACCUAUAAGCUAACAUGAGCAAGGGUGCCUUUUGUUUCGACCUUGUUUCAACAACUGAACACUUUUGUGUAGAUUCUUCAGAUAUGGGAGACAUGGCUGCUGAGAUACCUUCUGUGGGAGCAGGGACUUUCCCGUUAUCCGCAAUGGAUCCAGCGGGACUGAAAGUUUGCUGACCUAUGGGUCUGAAAGUGACUUCCCCGGACUCUUCUAAAUCUGACAUUUCUGUGACUUUUUUUUUUUUUUUUAAGUAUUUUAUUGUACGCUAUGAAAUUUCAAUGAUUGUAAAAUUUUGAAUUUAAUAAA